ACCGAGCGACGCCGCGUGCGGGAUGAAGGCCUUCGGGUUGUAAACCGCUGUCAGAGGGGAUGAAAUGCAGGUGGGUUCUCCCAUCUGUUUGACAUAGCCUCAGAGGAAGGACGGGCUAAGUUCGUGCCAGCAGCCGCGGUAAGACGAACCGUCCAAACGUUAUUCGGAAUCACUGGGCUUAAAGGGUGCGUAGGCGGCGCGGAAAGUUGGGUGUGAAAUCCCUCGGCUCAACCGAGGAAUUGCGCCCAAAACUUCCGUGCUCGAGGAAGAUAGAGGUGAGCGGAACUUAGGGUGGAGCGGUGAAAUGCGUUGAUAUCCUAAGGAACACCGGUGGCGAAAGCGGCUCACUGGAUCUUUUCUGACGCUGAGGCACGAAAGCUAGGGUAGCGAACGGGAUUAGAUACCCCGGUAGUCCUAGCCGUAAACGAUGAGCACUGGAUUGGAGGGUCCUCCAUAGCCUUCCAGUCGCAACGAAAGCGUUAAGUGCUCCGCCUGGGGAGUAUGGUCGCAAGGCUG
This 516-nucleotide ribosomal RNA is filed under the name uncultured Planctomycetota bacterium. RNAcentral's name for it is "bacterial SSU rRNA". It matches the Rfam family "Bacterial small subunit ribosomal RNA", at positions 386 to 896 of the family's 1533-position model. The record is from RNAcentral. Lineage: Bacteria; Pseudomonadati; Planctomycetota.